UUUGUACAAGACCCUCGAUUGUCUCUGCUCAUGUGGAAGUUUCUGAGGCACUGUCCUGACUGACCCAGGCCAGGGCAGUGGGGAGGUGGGGAUGGCGUUGCUCAGGACCCCGAGACUCACAGCGCGAUGCUUAUUGACCUAGGCCCUGCUGAGCGCAUGGCUGCACUGCUCCUGUGGCAUCACAAGGGGCACGACUCACCCAAGCCCCUGCCCUCCCAGGGUUGCCCCAGCUCCUGCCCCAGGUCUGCCCUCCCCAUUCCCCUCCGGCUUCCUGGGCAGUGAGUGACAGUGGGGAGGGCACAGAGGGGCACCUGGGGUCCCAGUGAGGGUCUGGCCUGGUGUUCCAGGUCCUGACUGCAGGAUGCCCUGGGGUCUUGGUCCAAGCAGGGGAGGGGACCACCUGCUGCUCCACAUCUUGUCCCGUCAGCCAGGCGGCAUGUCAAGGUGUCUGCGUUUUGGGGUCACAGCUGGGGAAGAUCUCUUCACCUGGCACAGCUGGGACUCGGGCCUCGAACAGCCAAUUAGGUACCCAUCACCUGCUUUGUUAAGGGUGAGAGAGAUGCCAGGAGGAGUCAGAAAUGGCCCUGCCUCAAGUCACGUGGGUGAACGAGCAGCAUCUAACAUCCCGCUUCCUCCCUCUGUAACAAGAUUUUGCCCUUGGUGUUGGUAACCAUAAUCUUUCCUAAUUCUUGUCGCAUUUCUCUGACCACUUCUCUCAUCUCCUUUGCAGGCCCCCCGUUCCCAGACCACCCUUAAAUGACAGCAUCUCCUAAAGCUCAUUUCCUAAUUAAGUGGUUCUCAAAUGUCAGCACCCGUUGGAAUACCUGGAGAGCCUUUCAAGACAUGGAUGGCUGGUCCCCACGUUCAGAGAUUUUAAAUUGGUGGGUCCGAGGGA
Molecule: long non-coding RNA, 895 nt
Filed under: Equus caballus (horse)
Lineage: Eukaryota; Metazoa; Chordata; Mammalia; Perissodactyla; Equidae
Description: lncRNA (ENSECAG00000050570.1)
Source: RNAcentral